GCUAUGUGUGGUUUCACCUACAGGUGAUCAUAGUUCCUAGAGAGGCUGAGGUUAGUGGAUCACUUGGGCUCAGGAGUUCUGAGUUGCAAUAUGUUAAGCCAAUCAGGCGUCCUUUCUAAGUCCAGCACCAAUAUGAUGAGCUCCAGGGAGCAGAGGGCCAGCAGGCUGCCUAAGACAGAGCAAACAGAAUAGGUCACAGAUCCCAUGCUAAUCAGCAGUAGGAUUAGGCCUGUGAGUGGCCACUACACUUCCAGCCUGGAUGAGAUAAGGAAACUGGAUCUCA
This 283-nucleotide non-coding RNA is filed under the name Phascolarctos cinereus (koala). Lineage: Eukaryota; Metazoa; Chordata; Mammalia; Diprotodontia; Phascolarctidae. The record is from RNAcentral.